UAUGUCAUUGUGCCAGCCGCCGCGGUCAUACGUAGGGAGCGAGCGUUGUCCGGAAUGACUGGGUGUAAAGGGAGCGUAGGCGGGAUGGCAAGUCAGAUGUGAAACCUGAGGGCUCAACCUUCAGACUGCAUUUGAAACUGCUGUUCUUGAGUGAAGUAGAGGUAAGCGGAAUUCCUGGUGUAGCGGUGAAAUGCGUAGAGAUCAGGAGGAACAUCGGUGGCGAAGGCGGCUUACUGGGCUUUUACUGACGCUGAGGCUCGAAAGCGUGGGGAGCAAACAGG
RNAcentral lists this ribosomal RNA (281 nucleotides) under Ruminococcus callidus. RNAcentral describes it as "partial 16S ribosomal RNA". It matches the Rfam family "Bacterial small subunit ribosomal RNA", at positions 496 to 776 of the family's 1533-position model. Lineage: Bacteria; Bacillati; Bacillota; Clostridia; Eubacteriales; Oscillospiraceae. The record is from RNAcentral.